RNAcentral lists this ribosomal RNA (256 nucleotides) under uncultured bacterium. RNAcentral's name for it is "partial 16S ribosomal RNA". It matches the Rfam family "Bacterial small subunit ribosomal RNA", at positions 524 to 777 of the family's 1533-position model. The record is from RNAcentral.
UACGUAGGGUGCAAGCGUUGUCCGGAAUUAUUGGGCGUAAAGAGCUCGUAGGCGGUUCGUCGCGUCGGCUGUGAAAACCUGAGGCUCAACCUCAGGCCUGCAGUCGAUACGGGCGGACUUGAGUACUGCAGGGGAGACUGGAAUUCCUGGUGUAGCGGUGAAAUGCGCAGAUAUCAGGAGGAACACCGGUGGCGAAGGCGGGUCUCUGGGCCGAUACUGACACUGAGAAGCGAAAAGCGUGGGGGAGCGAACAGGG